This 31-nucleotide non-coding RNA is filed under the name Mus musculus (house mouse). Lineage: Eukaryota; Metazoa; Chordata; Mammalia; Rodentia; Muridae. The record is from RNAcentral.
UGCAAUUAAUCACAGGUGCUGCAAGUUCACG